This 497-nucleotide ribosomal RNA is filed under the name uncultured bacterium. RNAcentral's name for it is "partial 16S ribosomal RNA". It matches the Rfam family "Bacterial small subunit ribosomal RNA", at positions 28 to 507 of the family's 1533-position model. The record is from RNAcentral.
GAUGAACGCUGGCGGCGUGCCUAAUACAUGCAAGUCGAGCGAACGGACGAGAAGCUUGCUUCUCUGAUGUUAGCGGCGGACGGGUGAGUAACACGUGGAUAACCUACCUAUAAGACUGGGAUAACUUCGGGAAACCGGAGCUAAUACCGGAUAAUAUUUUGAACCGCAUGGUUCAAAAGUGAAAGACGGUCUUGCUGUCACCUAUAGAUGGAUCCGCGCUGCAUUAGCUAGUUGGUGAGGUAACGGCUUACCAAGGCAACGAUGCAUAGCCGACCUGAGAGGGUGAUCGGCCACACUGGAACUGAGACACGGUCCAGACUCCUACGGGAGGCAGCAGUAGGGAAUCUUCCGCAAUGGGCGAAAGCCUGACGGAGCAACGCCGCGUGAGUGAUGAAGGUCUUCGGAUCGUAAAACUCUGUUAUUAGGGAAGAACAUAUGUGUAAGUAACUGUGAACAUCUUGACGGUACCUAAUCAGAAAGCCACGGCUAACUACGAG